ACAUUAUUUUCCGUAAUUUAGACUAUAUAGCUAUAAAGGCCUGGGGACAGUUGUGUAAUUUAAAUAGAACCAGAGAGGAAGAGGCUAACUUUAGGCUACUUUGGUGAAUUUGCGAGGCAUGCAAGACAUUUAAUUAAGACAUAGCGUGAUGCAGAUUACCAAGACAUAUGUGUUCUGCCUGCCCCUACUCUCUCCCUCGCGCUGGCCUCUUUGGUCUGUUGCAUGCAGAAUAUCCUAGUUUAGGCUAUUCAUGGGACCAAUGUCGCCGGGAUAGAGUUAUCUUCUGAGCAGUCUUGCGAGCACAGGUUGUCUUGAAAGCACCAUAAAUCCAGAGAAUGCCAGACUAUGAUGAUGAAAUUUUCCCAUGAAGGACCGCCGUUCCACCUUCCUGCUGAAGUGAGCACAGCACAACAAGGCGACCAGAACUGUCUGUCACAGCCCUAACUGCUGCUGCACGAAGACCACUCUUUCC
Molecule: long non-coding RNA, 472 nt
Organism: Oncorhynchus gorbuscha (pink salmon)
Lineage: Eukaryota; Metazoa; Chordata; Actinopteri; Salmoniformes; Salmonidae
Exons: 3
Source: RefSeq, a predicted model, not a curated record